RNAcentral lists this ribosomal RNA (254 nucleotides) under uncultured bacterium. RNAcentral's name for it is "partial 16S ribosomal RNA". It matches the Rfam family "Bacterial small subunit ribosomal RNA", at positions 524 to 776 of the family's 1533-position model. The record is from RNAcentral.
UACGGGGGGAGCAAGCGUUGUUCGGAUUUACUGGGCGUAAAGGGUGCGUAGGCGGUCAGCACAAGUCAGUUGUGAAAUCUCCGGGCUUAACUCGGAAAGGUCAACUGAUACUGUGCGACUAGAGUGCGGAAGGGGCAACUGGAAUUCUCGGUGUAGCGGUGAAAUGCGUAGAUAUCGAGAGGAACACCUGCGGCGAAGGCGGGUUCCUGGACCAAUACUGACGCUCAUGUGCGAAAGCGUGGGGAGCAAACAGG